Molecule: ribosomal RNA, 115 nt
Filed under: Balneolaceae bacterium
Lineage: Bacteria; Pseudomonadati; Balneolota; Balneolia; Balneolales; Balneolaceae
Description: partial 16S ribosomal RNA
Rfam family: Bacterial small subunit ribosomal RNA
Source: RNAcentral
UUACAAUGGAGAGUUUGAUCCUGGCUCAGGACGAACGCUGGCGGCGUGAUUGAUACAUGCAAGUCAAGGAGAACAUUAUCUUCGGAUAAUAAGUAAACUAGCGAACGGGGGAGUA